Diceros bicornis minor is the source of this 1240-nucleotide long non-coding RNA. RefSeq lists it as uncharacterized. The transcript is spliced from 3 exons. The record is from RefSeq and is a predicted model, not a curated record. Lineage: Eukaryota; Metazoa; Chordata; Mammalia; Perissodactyla; Rhinocerotidae.
AACCAGCGCAGAAGGUCGGGGUAAAGCGCCAGCAUCCAGCGUGCAGAAUUCUAAGCUGACCUUCAAGAUCUUCACCCCUGCAUAAUCUCCAGGACUGUGAAUAUGAUGGAUUUUACUCCUGUGAUUAAGUUCUAUGGCACAGUUGACUUUAAGAAAGGGAGAUGAUCUUGGGUGAGCCUGACCUAAUCAGGCUGGUGCCCAAACUCUGUAAUCAGAGUCCAAGAACGGCUCAGAAUUCCGUUAGGAGAGGAUUGCGGAUGUCUGCGAUGAAGGAAUACAAUGCCUGCCUGGUACUUGACAUGCCCUGAAGUGCUAUAGAGGAGCAGGUUUCCUUUCACUCCAUUUUCCACGUGGGAACACCGAUUGUCAUCGUUGAGAGAGACUGCAUUUCAUAAUAUCUAAGAACAACUGCGACUGUGCUGGGGAGGGGGAACUGCUUAAAGGAUGUAAUUAUUCCAGGCUUCUUUCACAUAUAUCUGUUUAAUGUACCUUUCCAUAGUGCUCUCAGUUGCCCCUGGGGUAGUUCCAGAAUUUCCACACGGGAGAGGCUUUGAGCUGGCAGUUGUCAUGGAGGGUGUAAGGGAUGACACACGGUCUAGAGAUGGCUUAGGGACGUGUCUGGAAGCUGUUCUUACUCACUGGAUGUUUAUUAGGGGAGGUUUGAAGGGAGAUGAUGGCAAUUAUUGAGGGGCCAAGCCCGCCCCCACCUCAUUGGCACCAGCCUGGGUAGUCUACAUGAUGGCGUACGCGUGAAUAAUUAGGUAGAUUUUGUGCUCUAAUAUUUUACCACAUUAGAAAUUAUGUAUCCCUUUAUGAAAAUCGUUUAAAACACAUUAAAUAAUAGCAAUGUUACCACUUUUUGAGCACCAAGUGCUACAUACUUCUCAUGUAUUUAUACAUAUUCUCAUUAAAUGCUCAUAUCAACUCUGAAAGACAGGUAUCAUAGAAAAAUCAUAACAUUGUAUAGACUGUGUUUUUUGAGAACCUGGUCAGGGGCUCUUCUCUGCAGGUUACGUGAAUUAGCUCAUUUACGUUAAUUGGCUUCAAUUCUAUGAAGCAGAUACUUCAGUAGCUUGUCUAAAUUCACACGGUUCCUAAGGGUGAAGGGGAGAUUUAGGCCUAGGCAAUCUGACAUCAGAACCUCUACUCGUAACCUCUGUACUGCAUUUACACCGUUUACAGAUAAGGGAAUAGAGACUGCCUUACUUCCUCCAGGUUGUCCGGGUCCUGUGUUGGAGCA